RNAcentral lists this ribosomal RNA (537 nucleotides) under uncultured bacterium. RNAcentral's name for it is "bacterial SSU rRNA". It matches the Rfam family "Bacterial small subunit ribosomal RNA", at positions 991 to 1529 of the family's 1533-position model. The record is from RNAcentral.
GCGGCGCAGGCAGAAAUGUCUGUUCUUUUCGGAGCGCUGGAGACAGGUGGUGCAUGGUUGUCGUCAGCUCGUGUCGUGAGAUGUUGGGUUAAGUCCCGCAACGAGCGCAACCCUUAUUCUUAGUAGCCAGCAGGUAAAGCUGGGCACUCUAGGGAGACUGCCAGGGAUAACCUGGAGGAAGGUGGGGAUGACGUCAAAUCAUCAUGCCCCUUAUGAUUUGGGCUACACACGUGCUACAAUGGCGUAAACAAAGGGAGGCGAAGCCGCGAGGUAGAGCGAACCCCAAAAUAACGUCUCAGUUCGGAUUGCAGGCUGCAACUCGCCUGCAUGAAGCCGGAAUCGCUAGUAAUCGCAGAUCAGCAUGCUGCGGUGAAUACGUUCCCGGGUCUUGUACACACCGCCCGUCACACCAUGGGAGUCGAUAACGCCCGAAGUCAGUGACCCAACCGUAAGGAGGGAGCUGCCGAAGGCGGGAUUGAUAACUGGGGUGAAGUCGUAACAAGGUAGCCGUAUCGGAAGGUGCGGCUGGAUCACCUC